UACGAAGGGGGCUAGCGUUGUUCGGAAUUACUGGGCGUAAAGGGCGCGUAGGCGGCCUGUUCAGUCAGAUGUGAAAGCCCCGGGCUCAACCUGGGAACCGCAUUUGAUACUGGCAGGCUUGAGUUCCGGAGAGGAUGGUGGAAUUCCCAGUGUAGAGGUGAAAUUCGUAGAUAUUGGGAAGAACACCGGUGGCGAAGGCGGCCCACUGGACGGAUACUGACGCUGAGGCGCGAAAGCGUGGGGAGCAAACAGG
Molecule: unclassified non-coding RNA, 253 nt
Filed under: uncultured Alphaproteobacteria bacterium
Lineage: Bacteria; Pseudomonadati; Pseudomonadota; Alphaproteobacteria
Description: contains 16S-23S intergenic spacer region
Rfam family: Bacterial small subunit ribosomal RNA
Source: RNAcentral